CCUGUGUUCAAUAGAACCGCUCAGGUCC
This 28-nucleotide non-coding RNA is filed under the name Bombyx mori (domestic silkworm). Lineage: Eukaryota; Metazoa; Arthropoda; Insecta; Lepidoptera; Bombycidae. The record is from RNAcentral.